CGAGUGCGCAUGCACACACAGCCUGAUUAUUACCCUAUCUCUAUUGUCCUCUGUUCACAUGUCUGUCCUGACCUUGGGAUUAUGAGCUCUAUGAGAUCACAGAUAGAAUUGUGUAGGUCUGUGUUCUUAGUGCCAAGCAUGGGACCUGGCACACAGACCAUCUUAUUGAAUGUUUACCGUUAAGAGGAACUGGUGAAACCAUACAGAAGACCCAGGAUUCCCACUGGCCUCAGAGUCCCACCAUCCACUCUGGUCACUCACCACAAAUGGACAACCUGGGCAGUCACUGUCCUGGAUUGGGCAUAUUGCAGUGUACAUAACAGGCUGGGCUCCUGGUCUCAUGGAGUGAACUGUCCAGAUGAUGAAAUCCUGACUCAGAAAGGUAAACUUGCUCAAGGUCACACAGUUGUGGCAGAGUCAGGACUUGAACCCAGACACCAGCAUCCAAAGUCUGACCUCUUAACCCCUGCGUGGCCCAGGCUGAGAAUUAAGGGCCAGAUAGAGGCGGAAAGCGACACCGAGAAUCCAUUCCAAACGAGCAGCCAAGAGGAGACGAGGCAGCUCCCAGAUGUUGAUGCUUUGUUUUUUGACAUAAAUCUUUGCACUCA
This is a non-coding RNA of Heterocephalus glaber (naked mole-rat), 608 nucleotides long. Lineage: Eukaryota; Metazoa; Chordata; Mammalia; Rodentia; Bathyergidae. The record is from RefSeq and is a predicted model, not a curated record.